This 253-nucleotide ribosomal RNA is filed under the name uncultured prokaryote. RNAcentral describes it as "partial 16S ribosomal RNA". It matches the Rfam family "Bacterial small subunit ribosomal RNA", at positions 524 to 776 of the family's 1533-position model. The record is from RNAcentral.
UACGUAGGCAGCAAGCGUUGUUCGGAAUUACUGGGCGUAAAGAGUGUGUAGGCGGUUUUCUAAGUUUGGUGUGAAAUCUCCCGGCUUAACUGGGAGGGUGCGCCGAAAACUGGAAGGCUUGAGUGCCGGAGAGGAUAGCGGAAUUCCUGGUGUAGCGGUGAAAUGCGUAGAUAUCGGGAGGAACACCUGCGGUGUAGACGGCUUACUGGACCGUAACUGACGCUGAGGCACGAAAGCGUGGGGAGCAAACAGG